Molecule: transfer RNA, 67 nt
Filed under: Mythicomyia sp.
Lineage: Eukaryota; Metazoa; Arthropoda; Insecta; Diptera; Mythicomyiidae
Description: tRNA-Trp
Source: RNAcentral
AAGGCUUUAAGUUAACGAAACUAACAGCCUUCAAAGUUGUAAAUAUAAGACCUUCUUUUAAGCCUUA